CAACUUGAGAGUUUGAUCCUGGCUCAGAGCGAACGCUGGCGGCAGGCUUAACACAUGCAAGUCGAGCGGGCGUAGCAAUACGUCAGCGGCAGACGGGUGAGUAACGCGUGGGAACGUACCUUUUGGUUCGGAACAACUGAGGGAAACUUCAGCUAAUACCGGAUAAGCCCUUACGGGGAAAGAUUUAUCGCCGAAAGAUCGGCCCGCGUCUGAUUAGCUAGUUGGUGAGGUAAUGGCUCACCAAGGCGACGAUCAGUAGCUGGUCUGAGAGGAUGAUCAGCCACAUUGGGACUGAGACACGGCCCAAACUCCUACGGGAGGCA
Molecule: ribosomal RNA, 323 nt
Filed under: Hyphomicrobiales bacterium
Lineage: Bacteria; Pseudomonadati; Pseudomonadota; Alphaproteobacteria; Hyphomicrobiales
Description: bacterial SSU rRNA
Rfam family: Bacterial small subunit ribosomal RNA
Source: RNAcentral